This is a non-coding RNA of Coffea arabica (coffee), 2259 nucleotides long. The record is from RefSeq and is a predicted model, not a curated record. Lineage: Eukaryota; Viridiplantae; Streptophyta; Magnoliopsida; Gentianales; Rubiaceae.
CCCUCAAAUUGCAUUGAAGCCUUUUCCUGCUCUCUCUACCACGCGCCUAUUCUGAGCAAAAUUCAGCACACCUAUUCUGAGCAAGUCCCAUCCCAACCGGCUAUGCUACCAAACCCACCAUCUCAUCUCUUUGUGACUUCCUUCUUUAAGCCAGCAGGUCAGCUGCUACUCCUGCAGCCGCUUGAUUUGCUGAUCAUUCACAUGGCCUUUGUACUUCAGAGCAGGAGAAUUGGGUGCAGCCUCACGUGAUAGUUGUACUUCAAAGGAGUGAAAUGGGGAAUUUUUUUUUAGGUAUGCCAUUCUAUUCUGAUCAGCUUUGGUAUUCAAUUUUCCACCCAAAUUAUGCUUUCUAUUCAACCUUCAUCAUCGGUAUGAUUACGAUUACAAAUAUCUGCUUGGAUGUGAUUUUUCCCUUAUUCCAGUUCUGCUGAGAAGUAGGAUUCCUAUUCACUUAGCCUGUACCUUUUAUCUGUAUUUGCACGUCUCUUUCUCUAAUCACACUCUCAUUCUAACCUUCAUUCACUCUGGUUUUGGCUUUUUUCCCUCUUGAUUCGGUAUGUGCUAUUUCAUAUGGAAGUACAAUUUUUUGUUAUUUCCUUUUUGGUUUGAACAUUUGUUUUUUCUUCUUUUUAUUUCCUUACCAGGGUUUAGUGAAUCUAAAUUUUGUUCGAAUAUAGUGUUGAUUUUUUUGUUGGAUUUUCACAACAGAUGAAGAUCAGAAAUAGGUGAAUUUAUUUUGUUCUCAUUUUCGGCUGUGAUGAUACAAUAUUGUUGCCGUGAGUUGUGUUUCAGGCUUGAUACUAACUGGAUUUAAGCUGUAUCUUGGCGAGGCAACUCAGAUGGCAUUUUGGAGUAUAUAUUAUUCCAGAACUGCAACUGAGUUUGCAGCCAUGGUUGUGCUCUUCUUCUUCGCCUGCCAUUGACAAACAAAUUGGAGCUUUACUUUUAAUUGUCAAAGUUCAUUGUUUUUUUCAUUUAUUAGUCCAACGGUAGCUUAGUUUGUUCUUCCGAAAUUCUCGUACAAAUUCAGUUCUACUUCAAGUAUUAUUACUCCCUGUUUUGAUGCUUUCUUAUCACUUAUCUCAGGUAUGUUAUGAUCCCUUACAAUGAUUGCUUAUGUUAUAUUUGCUUCAUUAACUCAAAACAUGGUUUUAGUAUGACACUGCCUUCAAGUGAAUAUGUGAAAUCUCAUAGGCAUGGCUAUCAAAUGUUUGAUGAAAUGUCUGUCUGAAACUUGGGAUAAUUGGUUCUUAGGUUGAUUGCAAAUGCAACAAUAAAUCUAGAUGGUGUUUUUUGGAUCUCUUGAGAAGGUUCUUUAAACAAAAGAAUUGCUUCAUUUGUGUUUCUAUUGAUAUCUAAAACUAAUAAAUUAGCUUUAUUUUGAAUCAAAUGUUGGCCAUUUGAUGGAUUUUAGAGUAAUCUAAGUGGUUCAACAUUGUCACUCAACUUGCUGUCCAGAUUCUUCUUCUUCUCUGCAUUGAAUUCACUGGUAAGUUUCAAAACUUAUGUUAACUUAAAGGUCUUUUCCAAUUUUUUCCUAUUUUUUGAAAACUGAGUGUAGCGUAAAAUGAUUGUUUUUUGCUUCUUUUUUGGUGGCUUGAUAAUAUCAAACUCUUAAGAAAAAGUUCCGAGCUCAUUCAGGACCGCCAGCUCCCCAGGGCACUCCUUUUUUAUAUCUGAGAAGCACCCUCCGAUGUAGCAUUUUGGUGCUGUAGGAUAUGGGGUCACUGAAACAGGGAGGUUGUAGCCAUCCACUAUACUUACGUCGUAGAAACUCGGCUGCCUCUUGUCAACCUGCAACGUAAACUCUACUAGCGUCACAGGAGGAACGCCGAUCACCCCGGCGCAUUCGAGUCGCCCGUUGCAGUCGCCUGUUUCACAGGCUCGUCCGUCGUUGGAGUAGUCGAAAUUGCAGCCUGUUCUGGCCCAGAUGCGGCCACUCGAAUCUCCUGGUGCCUGGAAUUUCCGGAGUCUCCCGGAUGGAAGAUAGAAGCCACCGUUUGCUACGACUGGAAAGCCUUGGUUCGGGGCAGUGGCAGGCCAUAUGGGAAAUGGGCACUUGUUGCUCACGUAAAAUGUGCAUGCUUCCACAACUCCACUACUGCCUGAGGCAACAAAUUAAAACAAAUCUUGCAACCAUCAAUUGAGUAAUAGGUAUUUCUUGCUUCUUUUUAGCUGUUAGGUUAUUCAAAAAUGUUUUGUUUUAUUCUUGCUGCUAAUUGGAGAAAUAAGUGAGUCACAGAAGAGUAAUUUUUCUUA